UUCUGUUGUAUAGGCGACUAUAUAUCAGCAGAAGGCAUUGGAUAUCAAUGAAAGAGAGCUGGGGCUUGACCAUCCAGAUACAAUGAAGAGCUAUGGGAAUCUAUCAGUAUUUUAUUAUCGCCUUCAGCAUAUUGAAUUGGCUCUGAAAUAUGUCAACCGUGCAUUGUUUCUUCUCCAUUUCACAUGUGGGCUUUCUCACCCAAAUACAGCAGCUACUUACAUAAAUGUAGCUAUGAUGGAAGAAGGCAUGGGAAAUGUUCAUGUUGCUCUCAGAUA
Long non-coding RNA from Salvia miltiorrhiza (redroot sage), 276 nucleotides. RefSeq lists it as uncharacterized. Lineage: Eukaryota; Viridiplantae; Streptophyta; Magnoliopsida; Lamiales; Lamiaceae. The record is from RefSeq and is a predicted model, not a curated record. The transcript has 2 exons.